UGGGGAAUUUUGGACAAUGGGGGCAACCCUGAUCCAGCCAUGCCGCGUGAGUGAAGAAGGCCUUCGGGUUGUAAAGCUCUUUCGGCCGGGAAGAAGUCGCUCAAGCUAAUACCUUGGGUGGAUGACGGUACCGGAAGAAGAAGCACCGGCUAACUACGUGCCAGCAGCCGCGGUAAUACGUAGGGUGCGAGCGUUAAUCGGAAUUACUGGGCGUAAAGCGUGCGCAGGCGGUUUCGUAAGACAGAUGUGAAAUCCCCGGGCUUAACCUGGGAACUGCGUUUGUGACUGCGAGACUUGAGUGCGGCAGAGGGGGGUGGAAUUCCACGUGUAGCAGUGAAAUGCGUAGAGAUGUGGAGGAACACCGAUGGCGAAGGCAGCCCCUGGGUCGACACUGACGCUCAUGCACGAAAGCGUGGGGAGCAAACAGGAUUAGAUACCC
RNAcentral lists this ribosomal RNA (439 nucleotides) under uncultured bacterium. RNAcentral's name for it is "bacterial SSU rRNA". It matches the Rfam family "Bacterial small subunit ribosomal RNA", at positions 355 to 787 of the family's 1533-position model. The record is from RNAcentral.